GUGAGGGAGAAGCUGGUUCUAUUUGCAGGUUCAUUGCAAAGAGCCGUUUAUUUCAGUGUCUUGUUACCCGAAGCAAGGAAGUGAUUAUUCUUGAGAUGGGGACCCCCGCUGUGUUUCCCAUGUUAAGCCCACUCAUUAGCAGCAGAAAGGGUGCCAUAUCUUACUCCAUAGCAGACAGAACCCUCGCUGAGAAGCUUCAUGUCCAAUCAGUCUUUAUUCC
Pelobates cultripes (western spadefoot toad) is the source of this 220-nucleotide non-coding RNA. NCBI's taxonomy places the organism in Eukaryota, Metazoa, Chordata, Amphibia, Anura, Pelobatidae. The record is from the annotation of a GenBank genome assembly.